GAUAAUUGUUUAGAUUGUUAGAUAGAUUGUUAGAUAACUACAGAGAUGUAAAUAAGGUGUGAUCAGCUGUAAUAUGUUGGAAUUCUUCAGAUUUUAUCAGAUUUUAUAGCAUAGCUGAUGGCUAAAUGUCCCCCAGUUAACCUCGUGAAAAAAAGAAAUGUGGAAGAAAUUGAUCUUCAUAAAAAUAUGCCUGAAAACAAAAUGGCCACUUAUUUGCCAAAGCAGUAAGGGAACAACUUCUUUGAGUGAUGGUCCUGUCAGGGUUCCCUCCCCACUCUGAACUCUGGGGUAGAGAUGUGGAGACCCGCAUGAAAGACCCCGUAAGCUUAUUUCUACGAGCUUAGGUUAAAAACUUCCCUAAGGCACAAAUUCUUCCUUGUCCUUGGAUGAGUGCUGCUGCCACCACCAAGUGAGUUAGACAAAGAUUCAGGAAAAGGACCACUUGGAGUUCCUGUUUCCCCAAAAUAUCCCCCCAAGCUCCUUCACUCCCUUUCCUGGGGUGGCUUAAGAAUAAUCUACCAACUAGAUAGGUAAACAAGGUGAGCACAGACCAACCCCUUGGGUUUUUAGGACACUAAAAACCAAUCAGAUUCUUUAAAAAAAAACAAAAACAAAAAAACCCCACCAGAACUUUAUUAUAAAGAAAAAAAAGUAAAAGAAGCACUUCUGUAAAAUCAGGAUGGAAGGUAAUUUUACAGGGUAAUAAGAUUCAAAACACAGAGGAUUCCCCUCUAGGCAAAACUUCAGAGUUACAAAAACAGGGAUAAACUUCCCUCUUAGCACAGGGAAAAUUCACAAGCUAAAACAAAAGAUACUGUAACGCAUUUCCUUGCUAUUACUUACUAUUUCCGUAAUUUUAGAUGUAUCAUUCAGUAGGAGCUGGAUUACUUGCUUGGUCUCUCUCUGUCUCCCAAGAGAACAACAACCCAAAACAAAAACCUUCCCCCACAGAUUUGAAAGUAUCUUCUCCCCUUAUUGGUCCUUUUGGUCAGGUGCCAACCAGAUUAUCUGAGCUUCUUAACCCUUUACAGGUAAAGGAGGGAUUUUAUGCUACCUUUAGCUGUAUGUUUAUGAUAGGUCACUGUUGUGUUCUACUGAGGGUUAUGUGCAUCCACCCUCAGUGGAAUAUAGAUAGGGACUACACAUCUUGAAGAAGCUCCAGUUACAGGCAAGUAACUGCCUCUUCUCUCAAUGUACGCACAAGAGCUAUCCAGACUGAAAUCCUUCACUACCAGCAGGAGGCAUGCGUCUUCAAUGUACCCACUGAGAUUAUUUCUGGUGGAAGAGCCAUAUCACCGAAGUGCCAAGCACUUCUGGAAACAAGGCCCUUUUUGCCUUAGGUUCAGUGUAUACAAUUUACCCUAAUCAGCUACUUCUUUCCCAGAGUUAUACACCCUAAAAGACAAAACUCCUAAUAAAGCCUUUCUGACCAACAGUAUAAUCUGCCUCACAGCCUCCACCAUAAUUGGAUCCCCACUAAUCUUUGGUCUUUCUUCCCUCUUCUAGCAGAAAGACAGGAGACAUAACGAAGGGGCAGAGUGGAAAGGAAAAAAGAAAAAACAUGACACAGAGAAGAAAGAGCCAGGAAAAAGAACAUCUGGAGAGGGUCAAGAAGGACAUCAGUCAUGAGAAUCAUUAUCUUCAAUCUUUGCCCCAGAGAUCAGGGACAGUGGACCAGGAGAUGGCCUAACUGAAACCAGGGGCCUCAGUUUUGGAGUGGCAGUUUCCUGUAGUGCUGGAAGAUGCAGAUUAGAUCCUUGUUGAGGAAUGGUGGGAUUUGAAACCAGAAAUAAUAAGAAGCAGAUUCGUCUCAGCUGAGAAUGACUGGGCCAGCCCUGGGCAGUAUCUUUUUUGCAGACAGACUUCCACUACAGCCUGAGCUGAAAUUUGUCUCAGUCUCUGAAGAACGUUAUUGAACAUCAGGUACCAGCACAUUUAUUUUUAGGGGAUCAGCUUCCAGUCAAAUUAUUUUCCACUAAAAUCCCCUCCUUAGAUCAGAGCAGAUUUUAACCACAUUUUUUAAAACUGUACUGAACACAAGUAUCCUCCUCUCUAUACUUCUGGUCAGCAGGGGGAGAGUUUUACAGUGUAGAUAAGCUCCAAGAAUGUGACGGAUGGGACAAAGUGGAAAAAAGAAGUGAGUUUCUCUUCGCUGCUUGUAUAGCAGAGAUAUAUAUGUGACUGGCCCAUUCUCUCUUGCUAAAACAAUGGCUGCUACUUGUUAAGCUGCAUUAAAUAUGAACAGCUGCUUUCUAGUCCCCUAUGGAAAUGAUAUGCUGAGAUCUCGGUGACUUGAUCAAUGGGAAUUGUGCCAAAAAUAUUUCAAUAGUUUCCCUAGUUGCAGGCCUAGCCUCCAUUCAGAAUGUAGCUAUCUUGUUCAGGGCUGUAAAAAAUUCACAUCUCCCGAGCAUUGUAGCUAUGGUGACCUAACACCUGGUGUAGACAGAUAGAAGAAUGCUUCUGUUGACUUACCUACCACCACCACCACUCAGGGAGGCAGAGUUCCUACAGCGACAGAGAAACCCCUUUCAUCGCUGUAGGAGGUGUCUAUGGGUUAUAGUGGCAGUGCUUCUGCCCCCUCCUCCCCCCCCCAAUGCACACAUGUCCCUAGUGAUGUGCUCACAAAACUGUUGGCAUUCUUAAAUACUGCUGCAGGAACAAGCCUUUUUUGGAGUCUGCCACGCAAUGGUCCAUUGCAGCCACCAUAACUGUGGAAAGUGUUACCUGCCUGCAACUAAUUUCCCUUGCCGGAGGGAAAAAACAACAGCUACCCAAUGCCAUCUCUGCCGGCAUGUCUCAAAACGUGGUGGGUAAACAAC
Non-coding RNA from Caretta caretta (loggerhead turtle), 2819 nucleotides. The record is from RefSeq and is a predicted model, not a curated record. Lineage: Eukaryota; Metazoa; Chordata; Testudines; Cheloniidae.